GGUUCGAUUCCCGUCGAGACCGCCAUUUAAUUUUAUAAUUAAUAGCGAUUUACCUAUAAUAAUGGAGGAAUACC
RNAcentral lists this transfer RNA (74 nucleotides) under Staphylococcus aureus. Its description in RNAcentral is "tRNA-Arg-ACG". Lineage: Bacteria; Bacillati; Bacillota; Bacilli; Caryophanales; Staphylococcaceae. The record is from RNAcentral.